UGGGCAGAGGCCUAUUGGUUUGGGCGUCUAGCUGUUAAUUAGAAUUUUUGUGGGAUCGAAGCCCACCUGCCUAG
RNAcentral lists this transfer RNA (74 nucleotides) under Coracias spatulatus (racket-tailed roller). RNAcentral describes it as "tRNA-Asn". Lineage: Eukaryota; Metazoa; Chordata; Aves; Coraciiformes; Coraciidae. The record is from RNAcentral.